Molecule: ribosomal RNA, 730 nt
Filed under: uncultured organism
Description: SSU rRNA
Rfam family: Bacterial small subunit ribosomal RNA
Source: RNAcentral
CUUGAUGAACGCUGGCGGCGUGCCUAACACAUGCAAGUCGAGCGUUGCACUUUGCUUAGAUUCUUCGGAUGAAGAGGAUUGUGACUGAGCGGCGGACGGGUGAGUAACGCGUGGGUAACCUGCCUCGUACAGGGGGAUAACAGUUAGAAAUGACUGCUAAUACCGCAUAAGACCACAGCACCGCAUGGUGCAGGGGUAAAAACUCCGGUGGUAUGAGAUGGACCCGCGUCUGAUUAGCUAGUUGGUAAGGUAACGGCUUACCAAGGCGACGAUCAGUAGCCGACCUGAGAGGGUGACCGGCCACAUUGGGACUGAGACACGGCCCAAACUCCUACGGGAGGCAGCAGUGGGGAAUAUUGCACAAUGGGGGAAACCCUGAUGCAGCGACGCCGCGUGAGCGAAGAAGUAUUUCGGUAUGUAAAGCUCUAUCAGCAGGGAAGAAAAUGACGGUACCUGACUAAGAAGCACCGGCUAAAUACGUGCCAGCAGCCGCGGUAAUACGUAUGGUGCAAGCGUUAUCCGGAUUUACUGGGUGUAAAGGGAGCGUAGACGGAUGGGCAAGUCUGAUGUGAAAACCCGGGGCUCAACCCCGGGACUGCAUUGGAAACUGUUCAUCUAGAGUGCUGGAGAGGUAAGUGGAAUUCCUAGUGUAGCGGUGAAAUGCGUAGAUAUUAGGAGGAACACCAGUGGCGAAGGCGGCUUACUGGACAGUAACUGACGUUGAGGCUCG